UCUAAAUUGAGAUAUUAUUGGUGAUAACUAAGUAGUCUUCUGGUCUCUGGAUAUAGUUGUCUCAUUGACAAUACCACAUAAAUAAGUAGUCUUCUGGUCUCUGGAUAUAGUUGUCUCAUUGACAAUAUCACAUCUACUUACUUUUAUGUAAAUUCAAAUCAAAUAAUGCAAUUUCAGGAACAGCUACAUAAAAAGUUCUAUUCUAUAUGAUACUCUUCUCCUUAUUGCAUUUAUUGAAUCAAUAAAACCUUGUAACUAAAGGCAACAGUACUAUACCGCUGUUCAAAAGUCGUUAAUCGAUUUAGAGAAAAUAAAUCUAGGUAACAAACUAAAACUGUUAACAUUUUUGAAUGUACAGAGUUUCCUUUAUAAAUAAAAAACCUACUAAAUUGAGCUUUACCAGAUGCUGAUUAUUAUGUGUUUUCUGAAUAACCUAUACGUCUUAUUUGUUUUAAAAUUAUAUAUGCUGAUACACAUAAUAAAUAUGGCUCAAACUAACAAAAGCUCCAUUGGAGGUAUCUAUUAAAAGAGACCUCGAUCUAUAUCAGUAUUUCUUUAUGUUUACUUCAUGGUAUCUAUGGUAACACUCAUGUUCACAUUACAUGUAUUUGUUCACGUUCUGCUGUAUGGCAGAGCUCAUUAUUUUAUGUUUACUUUAUGUUAACUGUUAUCUAUUAAUCUUUAUUUAUGAUGGUGCAAUAAAU
Molecule: long non-coding RNA, 704 nt
Filed under: Mytilus galloprovincialis (Mediterranean mussel)
Lineage: Eukaryota; Metazoa; Mollusca; Bivalvia; Mytilida; Mytilidae
Source: RNAcentral